RNAcentral lists this ribosomal RNA (460 nucleotides) under uncultured bacterium. RNAcentral describes it as "partial 16S ribosomal RNA". It matches the Rfam family "Bacterial small subunit ribosomal RNA", at positions 338 to 795 of the family's 1533-position model. The record is from RNAcentral.
CCUACGAGAGGCAGCAGUGAGGAAUAUUGGUCAAUGGGCGCGAGCCUGAACCAGCCAAGUCGCGUGAGGGAGGACGGCCCUACGGGUUGUAAACCUCUUUUGCCGGGGAGCAACGGGCGUCACGUGUGGCGCCACUGAGAGUACCCGGAGAAAAAGAAUCGGCUAACCCCGUGCCAGCAGCCGCGGGAAUACAGAGGCUGCGAGCUUUGUCCGGAUUUAUGGGGUUAAAAGGGUGCGUAGGCGGAUCGUAAAGUCAGUGGUCAAAUUGAGGGGCUCAACCCCUUCCCGCCAUUGAAACUGGCGCUCUUGAGUGGAAGAGAGGUAUGCGGAAUGCGUGGUGUAGCGGUGAAAUGCAUAGAUAUCACGCAGAACCCCGAUUGCGAAGGCAGCAUGCCGGCUUCCGACUGACGCUGAAGCACGAAAGCGUGGGGAUCGAACAGGAUUAGAUACCCUUGUAGUC